Molecule: ribosomal RNA, 516 nt
Filed under: uncultured Actinomycetes bacterium
Lineage: Bacteria; Bacillati; Actinomycetota; Actinomycetes
Description: bacterial SSU rRNA
Rfam family: Bacterial small subunit ribosomal RNA
Source: RNAcentral
UAGGGAAUCUUGCGCAAUGGGCGAAAGCCUGACGCAGCGACGCCGCGUGCGGGAAGAAGGCCUUCGGGUUGUAAACCGCUUUCAGGAGGGACGAAGCCACUCGGGUGAACAGCCCAGAGGGUGACGGUACCUCCAGAAGAAGCCCCGGCUAACUACGUGCCAGCAGCCGCGGUAAUACGUAGGGGGCAAGCGUUGUCCGGAUUCAUUGGGCGUAAAGAGCGUGUAGGCGGUCAGGUAGGUCGGUUGUGAAAACUGGAGGCUCAACCUUCAGAGGUCGACCGAAACCCCCUGGCUAGAGUCCGGGAGAGGAGAGUGGAAUUCCUGGUGUAGCGGUGAAAUGCGCAGAUAUCAGGAAGAACACCCGUGGCGAAAGCGGCUCUCUGGAACGGUACUGACGCUGAGACGCGAAAGCGUGGGGAGCGAACAGGAUUAGAUACCCUGGUAGUCCACGCCGUAAACGAUGGGCGCUAGGUGUGGGAGGUGUCGACUCCUUCCGUGCCGAAGCUAACGCAUUAA